Molecule: ribosomal RNA, 626 nt
Filed under: uncultured euryarchaeote
Lineage: Archaea; Methanobacteriati; Methanobacteriota
Description: bacterial SSU rRNA
Rfam family: Archaeal small subunit ribosomal RNA
Source: RNAcentral
UUUCGCCUCGNUUCGGNUCCGAUUUAGCCUGCUAGUCGCACGGGCUUAGACCCGUGGCAGAUAGCUCAGUAACACGUGGCCAAACUGCCCUAUGGAUGGAGACAACCUCGGGAAACUGAGGCUAAUAUCCAAUACAGCUCCCAUGUUGGAGUGCAGAGAGCUAGAAAUGCUCCGGCGCCGUAGGAUGUGGCUGCGGCCGAUUAGGUAGACGGUGGGGUAACGGCCCACCGUGCCGAUAAUCGGUACGGGUUGUGAGAGCAAGAACCCGGAGACGGAAUCUGAGACAAGAUUCCGGGCCCUACGGGGCGCAGCAGGCGCGAAACCUUUACACUGCACGAGAGUGCGAUAAGGGGACCCCGAGUGCGAGGGCAUACAGUCCUCGCUUUUCUGUACCGUAAGGUGGUACAGGAAUAAGGGCUGGGCAAGACCGGUGCCAGCCGCCGCGGUAAUACCGGCAGCUCGAGUGAUGACCGAUUUUAUUGGGCCUAAAGCGUCCGUAGCCGGCCACGUAGGUCCGUCGGGAAAUCCACUCGCUUAACGAAGUGGGCGUCCGGCGGAAACCACGUGGCUUGGGGCCCGGAAGAACUGAGGGGUACCUUCCGGGGUAGGAAUUGAAAUCCUGUAAU